GUACUGCCGAAGAGUCCCAAACUAGAACUAAACAGCUGUCCUGUAC
This 46-nucleotide non-coding RNA is filed under the name Trichobilharzia regenti. Lineage: Eukaryota; Metazoa; Platyhelminthes; Trematoda; Strigeidida; Schistosomatidae. The record is from RNAcentral.